This 599-nucleotide ribosomal RNA is filed under the name Paraphoma fimeti. RNAcentral describes it as "eukaryotic LSU rRNA". The stretch from base 260 to 413 matches the Rfam family "5.8S ribosomal RNA". The record is from RNAcentral. Lineage: Eukaryota; Fungi; Ascomycota; Dothideomycetes; Pleosporales; Phaeosphaeriaceae.
AAGGUGUAACAAGGUUUCCGUAGGUGAACCUGCGGAAGGAUCAUUACCUUUCAGUACAGAAGCGUUGUGUUGGUUGAGUUGUGCCGGUUGAGUCUCGCUGACAAGUGGGAUUCCUGGUGGCAACUCCCUUCAUAAUUCUCCCUGUCUAUCAUCCUUGUCUUUUGCGUACUAUUGUUUCCUCGGUGGGCUUGCCCACCGGUUGGACAACCUUAUAACCUAUUUAAUUUUCAAUCAGCGUCUGAAAUAAUAUAAUAAUUACAACUUUCAACAACGGAUCUCUUGGUUCUGGCAUCGAUGAAGAACGCAGCGAAAUGCGAUAAGUAGUGUGAAUUGCAGAAUUCAGUGAAUCAUCGAAUCUUUGAACGCACAUUGCGCCCCUUGGUAUUCCAUGGGGCAUGCCUGUUCGAGCGUCAUUUGUACCCUCAAGCUUUGCUUGGUGUUGGGUGUUUGUCUUUUCCACGCGAUCAGACUCGCCUUAAAAAAAUUGGCAGCCAGUGUUUUGGUUUUGAAGCGCAGCACAAGUCGCGAUUCAGCUUAUAUCACUAGUUUCCAUUAAGCAUUUUAUCACUUUUGACCUCGGAUCAGGUAGGGAUACCCGC